CGGGACGGGUGAGUAACGCGUGGGUAACCUACCCUGUACACACGGAUAACAUACCAAAGGUAUGCUAAUACAGGAUAAUAUAUUUGAGAGGCAUCUCUUGAAUAUCAAAGGUGAGCCAGUACAGGAUGGACCCGCGUCUGAUUAGCUAGUUGGUAAGGUAACGGCUUACCAAGGCGACGAUCAGUAGCCGACCUGAGAGGGUGAUCGGCCACAUUGGAACUGAGACACGGUCCAA
Molecule: ribosomal RNA, 235 nt
Filed under: uncultured bacterium
Lineage: Bacteria
Description: partial 16S ribosomal RNA
Rfam family: Bacterial small subunit ribosomal RNA
Source: RNAcentral